UUUAAUUGACCAAAUCCAUGCCAACUGUUCCACUAGCUAUUCCAAAAAUAUUUAAAAAAUUGUGUGUUUUGAUUGACCCACCUUAGGGAUCAGCGAUUACUAAAAUAUUAAAAAAUUGUAAAGGAAAAAUGCCUCAACAUCGAAUUAUGCCUUUUUAAACAUUGCCUUCUAGAGUUUGUCAGUUUGCUUUGAUGUACCACUGCAUGUUUGUAUCCAAUCUUCAAGAUAGUCCAUCAUUUCUUUCUAAAUAGGGCAGGAAGAACUUCAAUCGUAACUGAACUCCACAAAGAUUAGAAUAUCACGUUUUUCUUUGUGGAAACAAAGAAAGAAAUUGAGUUCAAAAUAGAUUUUUACAUUGGGUUAAAUCCACUGGUGGCCACCAAACUUUAUAUUUAGUGCCACCAAACUUUAUAUUUAAUGUCACCAUAACCACUCAGUUUGACUUUGUUUCAUCAUGGUUAUCCAACUUUAUAUUUAGUGCCAUCAUGACCAUUCAAUUUGGUUUUAUUUUACUAUGGCCACCCAACUUUAUAAAACGUUUCACCAAAACCACCUA
Molecule: long non-coding RNA, 556 nt
Filed under: Olea europaea subsp. europaea
Lineage: Eukaryota; Viridiplantae; Streptophyta; Magnoliopsida; Lamiales; Oleaceae
Source: RNAcentral